GAUUGAACGCUGGCGGCAUGCUUUACACAUGCAAGUCGAACGGCAGCGCGGGCUUCGGCCUGGCGGCGAGUGGCGAACGGGUGAGUAAUACAUCGGAACGUGCCCAGUAGUGGGGGAUAGCUCGGCGAAAGCCGGAUUAAUACCGCAUACGACCUGAGGGUGAAAGCGGGGGUUCUUCGGCCCUCGCGCUUUUGGAGCGGCCGAUGGCAGAUUAGCUAGUUGGUGGGGUAAAGGCCUACCAAGGCGACGAUCUGUAGCUGGUCUGAGAGGACGACCAGCCACACUGGGACUGAGACACGGCCCAGACUCCUACGGGAGGCAGCAGUGGGGAAUUUUGGACAAUGGGCGAAAGCCUGAUCCAGCAAUGCCGCGUGUGUGAUGAAGGCCUUCGGGUUGUAAAGCACUUUUGGCGGGAACGAAAAGGACUGUGCCAAUACCACGGUUCGAUGACGGUACCCGCAGAAUAAGCACCGGCUAACUACGUG
This 485-nucleotide ribosomal RNA is filed under the name uncultured bacterium. RNAcentral's name for it is "partial 16S ribosomal RNA". It matches the Rfam family "Bacterial small subunit ribosomal RNA", at positions 27 to 507 of the family's 1533-position model. The record is from RNAcentral.